GAUGAAGAACGCAGCAAAAUGCGAUAAGUAAUGUGAAUUGCAGAAUUCAGUGAAUCAUCGAAUCUUUGAACGCACAUUGCGCCCGCCAGUAUUCUGGCGGGCAUGCCUGUUCGAGCGUCAUUUCAACCCUCAAGCCCUCGGGUUUGGUGUUGGGGAUCGGCGAGCCUUUCUGGCAAGCCGGCCCCGAAAUCUAGUGGCGGUCUCGCUGCGGCCUCCAUUGCGUAGUAGUAAAACCCUCGCAACUGGAACGCGGCGCGGCCAAGCCGUUAAACCCCCAACUUCUGAAUGUUGACCUCGGAUCAGGUAGGAAUACCCGCUGAACUUAAGCAUAUCAAUAAGCGGAGGA
Molecule: unclassified non-coding RNA, 346 nt
Filed under: soil metagenome
Description: partial contains 5.8S ribosomal RNA, internal transcribed spacer 2, and large subunit ribosomal RNA
Rfam family: 5.8S ribosomal RNA (bases 1-120)
Source: RNAcentral